This is a non-coding RNA of Brassica oleracea var. oleracea, 300 nucleotides long. It matches the Rfam family "Plant signal recognition particle RNA". NCBI's taxonomy places the organism in Eukaryota, Viridiplantae, Streptophyta, Magnoliopsida, Brassicales, Brassicaceae. The record is from Rfam.
GUCGAGCUACGUCACGAGAGCUUGUGACACGAUUGGGGACAAUAAGAUGGUGGAACACUGGUUAGGUCCACGGGUCGGUUCUGGUUUGGCAUGUUUCUGAGAGUUAUCUGUCUGGUUUGAGCUAUCUGGUUUGAGCAAAGGCUCGAGUCAGGUGGGUGCUAAAGUUGGAUGGUAAUGCGCCAGGCUGGUUUUACAGAGCAUCGACUACUUCCCGCUCUCAGCAGUGUGCGGAUAACGGCUAGGCACCACUCAGACCCACUAUGGUGUGCUGGUUCGUUCUUCAGCUGGACCACCAUUUAA